GCUGAGACUGAUACUUUGGACCGAGAGAAACCAGAACUUCUCACCUUACUGCCCUUGACCCAGCUUAUUUGAGAGAAUGAGAGCCAGAGCACCUCAGACAUAUGUAAUAUUUACAGAGGAGUGGCCAGGAGCACCUCGCCCUGCUGUUUCCCCAAAUCCAGGUACUCAACAUAAAGGCAUUUGUCAAAGAAGACCUCAAUGUUCAUCUCCUCGCUAUAAGCAGGAAAAGAGAUCCAGGUGUCUGAAAAUAAACCAGAUUUUCCGGGUGUGGUUAGAUGCAAUGUUAGGGCUUCCAAAGAAGCUGAACAGAGCAUAUUCUCUUGCAGAAAAACAGCUUUCGCCCAGCAAAACAGAUCUCUCCUGCUGCAAAAAGCUUAGCUCCGCGACUUAG
Molecule: long non-coding RNA, 391 nt
Filed under: Anser brachyrhynchus (Pink-footed goose)
Lineage: Eukaryota; Metazoa; Chordata; Aves; Anseriformes; Anatidae
Description: lncRNA (ENSABRG00000019740.1)
Source: RNAcentral